CCUACGGGCGGCUGCAGUCAAGAAUCAUUCACAAUGGGGGAAACCCUGAUGGUGCGACGCCGCGUGGGGGAAUGAAGUUCUUCGGAUUGUAAACCCCUGUCAUGUGGGAGCAAAUUAAAAAGAUAGUACCACAAGAGGAAGAGACGGCUAACUCUGUGCCAGCAGCCGCGGUAAUACAGAGGUCUCAAGCGUUGUUCGGAAUCACUGGGCGUAAAGCGUGCGUAGGCUGUUUCGUAAGUCGUGUGUGAAAGGCGAGGGCUCAACCCGCGGACGGCACAUGAUACUGCGAGACUAGAGUAAUGGAGGGGGAACCGGAAUUCUCGGUGUAGCAGUGAAAUGCGUAGAUAUCGAGAGGAACACUCAUGGCGAAGGCGGGUUCCUGGAAAUUAACUGACGCUGAGGCACGAAGGCCAGGGGAGCGAAAGGGAUUAGAUACCCUAGUAGUC
Molecule: ribosomal RNA, 446 nt
Filed under: uncultured bacterium
Lineage: Bacteria
Description: partial 16S ribosomal RNA
Rfam family: Bacterial small subunit ribosomal RNA
Source: RNAcentral